GAUGAACGCUGGCGGCGUGCCUAAUACAUGCAAGUCGAGCGAACGGACGAGAAGCUUGCUUUUCUGAUGUUAGCGGCGGACGGGUGAGUAACACGUGGAUAACCUACCUAUAAGACUGGGAUAACUUCGGGAAACCGGAGCUAAUACCGGAUAAUAUUUUGAACCGCAUGGUUCAAAAGUGAAAGACGGUCUUGCUGUCACUUAUAGAUGGAUCCGCGCUGCAUUAGCUAGUUGGUAAGGUAACGGCUUACCAAGGCAACGAUGCUUAGCCGACCUGAGAGGGUGAUCGGCCACACUGGAACUGAGACACGGUCCAGACUCCUACGGGAGGCAGCAGUAGGGAAUCUUCCGCAAUGGGCGAAACCCUGACGGAGCAACGCCGCGUGAGUGAUGAAGGUCUUCGGAUCGUAAAACUCUGUUAUUAGGGAAGAACAUAUGUGUAAGUAACUGUGCACAUCUUGACGGUACCUAAUCAGAAAGCCACGGCUAACUACGUG
This 497-nucleotide ribosomal RNA is filed under the name uncultured bacterium. Its description in RNAcentral is "partial 16S ribosomal RNA". It matches the Rfam family "Bacterial small subunit ribosomal RNA", at positions 28 to 507 of the family's 1533-position model. The record is from RNAcentral.